RNAcentral lists this ribosomal RNA (293 nucleotides) under Salmonella enterica subsp. enterica serovar Weltevreden. RNAcentral describes it as "partial 23S ribosomal RNA". It matches the Rfam family "Bacterial large subunit ribosomal RNA", at positions 1113 to 1320 of the family's 2925-position model. Lineage: Bacteria; Pseudomonadati; Pseudomonadota; Gammaproteobacteria; Enterobacterales; Enterobacteriaceae. The record is from RNAcentral.
CAGCCAUCAUUUAAAGAAAGCGUAAUAGCUCACUGGUCGAGUCGGCCUGCGCGGAAGAUGUAACGGGGCUAAACCAUGCACCGAAGCUGCGGCAGCGAACGUAUCACCCAAGACAACUUUACGGAGUUGACGAUUGACGGAGCGAAGCGACGUCAAAGCGUUCAUUAAAGUCGAGUUGGCUUAGGGAUACGUUCGUUGGGUAGGGGAGCGUUCUGUAAGCCUGCGAAGGUGGCCUGUGAGGGUUGCUGGAGGUAUCAGAAGUGCGAAUGCUGACAUAAGUAACGAUAAAGCGG